This is a non-coding RNA of Oryza glumipatula, 206 nucleotides long. The record is from Rfam. NCBI's taxonomy places the organism in Eukaryota, Viridiplantae, Streptophyta, Magnoliopsida, Poales, Poaceae.
AAAAAGGCAAACCCUGGGUUUCCGUGCGAACGUUUGACUGUCCGUCUUAUAUGAAUUUUUUUUAUAAUUAGUAUUUUCAUUGUUGUUAGAUGAUAAAACAUAAUUAAUACUUUGUGCGUGACUUAUCUUUUUAAUUUUGUUUCAUAAUUUUUUUAAAUAAGACGGACGGUCAAAUGUUGGACACGGAAACCAGGGUUUGUCUUUUU